RNAcentral lists this ribosomal RNA (459 nucleotides) under uncultured bacterium. Its description in RNAcentral is "partial 16S ribosomal RNA". It matches the Rfam family "Bacterial small subunit ribosomal RNA", at positions 339 to 795 of the family's 1533-position model. The record is from RNAcentral.
CUACGGGACGCUCCAGUAAGGAAUAUUGCGCAAUGGAGGCAACUCUGACGCAGCCAUGCCGCGUGCAGGAAGAAGGCCUUAUGGGUCGUAAACUGCUUUUAUUUAGGAAUAAACCCCCGAACGUGUUCGGGGCUGAAGGUACUAAACGAAUAAGCACCGGCUAACUCCGUGCCAGCAGCCGCGGUAAUACGGAGGGUGCAAGCGUUAUCCGGAUUUAUUGGGUUUAAAGGGUGCGCAGGCGGGCUAUUAAGUCAGUGGUGAAAUCCCGGGGCUCAACUCCGGAACUGCCAUUGAUACUGAUAGUCUUGAGUUUGGUUGAAGUGGGCGGAAUGUAGCAUGUAGCGGUGAAAUGCAUAGAUAUGCUACAGAACACCAAUCGCGAAGGCAGCUCACUAAGCCAAAACUGACGCUCAUGCACGAAAGCGUGGGGAUCAAACAGGAUUAGAUACCCCCGUAGUC